Long non-coding RNA from Silurus meridionalis, 492 nucleotides. RefSeq lists it as uncharacterized. Lineage: Eukaryota; Metazoa; Chordata; Actinopteri; Siluriformes; Siluridae. The record is from RefSeq and is a predicted model, not a curated record. The transcript is spliced from 2 exons.
CCAUGAAGUUCUCAAGGUUUUUGCCUUGCUUGGCACCAACCAUCGUGGCAGGUUCUAAAACCACAGCGAUUCGGAUGUUUGAAUGUAAACAUUAGCUGAAGAUCUAAACCUGGCUCUGGAUGAUGCUUCUGGCUACUGCUGCCACAUGAGCACAUGAGGUGUGGGUCGACUUUGGUGCUUGGAGUCUUAUACUGUUUUUCCUUUGGAGGAUUUUGCUUUGGAGCAUUUCUCAAAUUUCAACAGAGGAAGUGGAUUUUCUACAAACAGCACAAUACAUUGGAUUUCUUGCAAAAAGCCUGUACUUUUCUCAAAAUCCUCAGUUCAUCUCUUAAAAGUAAGUCUUUGUGUCAAUGAACAUUUUAUUUCCAUCACAAAGUCUUUUUGUCAUUGUUUACAAACAAGAUCAUCCAAAAGUUUAGGCAUGUUGUCAGUAUAAUGCUGCACAGUUUUAGUAUUUCUUGAUAUAAAAUAUAGUUGAUUAUAUAAUUUGAA